GGACUACCAGGGUUUCUAAUCCUGUUUGAUCCCCACACUUUCGUGCUUCAGCGUCAGUCACAUCUUAGUAAGCUGCCUUCGCAAUCGGUGUUCUGUGCAAUAUCUAAGCAUUUCACCGCUACACUGCACAUUCCGCCUACCUCAGAUGUACUCAAGACACACAGUAUCAAAGGCAAUUCUCCAGUUAAGCUGAAGUCUUUCACCUCUGACUUAUGCGUCCGCCUACGCACCCUUUAAACCCAAUAAAUCCGGAUAACGCUCGCAUCCUCCGUAUUACCGCGGCUGCUGGCAC
RNAcentral lists this ribosomal RNA (292 nucleotides) under uncultured Bacteroidota bacterium. RNAcentral describes it as "uncultured Bacteroidetes bacterium partial 16S ribosomal RNA". The record is from RNAcentral. Lineage: Bacteria; Pseudomonadati; Bacteroidota.